CCAUCGGUGGUUCAGUGGUAGAAUGCUCGCCUGCCACACGGGCGGCCCGGGUUCGAUUCCUGGCCGAUGCA
RNAcentral lists this transfer RNA (71 nucleotides) under Cordylochernes scorpioides. RNAcentral describes it as "tRNA-Gly". It matches the Rfam family "tRNA". Rfam says of the family: Transfer RNA (tRNA) molecules are approximately 80 nucleotides in length. Their secondary structure includes four short double-helical elements and three loops (D, anti-codon, and T loops). Further hydrogen bonds mediate the characteristic L-shaped molecular structure. tRNAs have two regions of fundamental functional importance: the anti-codon, which is responsible for specific mRNA codon recognition, and the 3' end, to which the tRNAs corresponding amino acid is attached (by aminoacyl-tRNA synthetases). tRNAs cope with the degeneracy of the genetic code in two manners: having more than one tRNA (with a specific anti-codon) for a particular amino acid; and 'wobble' base-pairing, i.e. permitting non-standard base-pairing at the 3rd anti-codon position. The record is from RNAcentral. Lineage: Eukaryota; Metazoa; Arthropoda; Arachnida; Pseudoscorpiones; Chernetidae.